GGUUUUUUUGAUAUUGGUUUUAGUGGUCCUGCGUACACUUGGCGUAACAAACAGCAUACUGUUAAUCCUAUUUACAGACGUCUAGACCGAUGCCUUGUCAACUCUGACUGGUGUGCGCAUUAUCCUAAUUCUAAAGUGCUCAACUUACCUAUUAUUCUCAGUGAUCAUGCGCCCAUUCUCGUUUCUACAGACGGUAAUUUUCUUAAGCCGAGGCAAACUUUUAAAUUUGAAAACUGGUGGUUGCUUGAAAAAGACUUUACUAGCUUUGCAAAAUCUGCUUGGAAUAAUUGCACUUUUACCUCUUUUGCAGCAAAGUCUUCUUCUUUGGCAGGUUCUUUGAAGAAGUGGUGUAAGAAGAAAAGACCCUUCCAGUAA
Molecule: ribosomal RNA, 375 nt
Filed under: Triticum aestivum (bread wheat)
Lineage: Eukaryota; Viridiplantae; Streptophyta; Magnoliopsida; Poales; Poaceae
Description: partial small subunit ribosomal RNA
Source: RNAcentral